AUGACAAACCUGUUGCAUACUUUUUCUGAAAAAUUGAGUGGGCGUAGUCUGAACUAUCCUACUUAUGAUAAAGAAUUAUAUGCUCUUGUUUGGACCUUAGAAACACAGCAACAUUAUUUAUGGCCCAAGGAAUUUGUUAUACAUUCUGAUCAUGAAUCUUUGAAACACAUUAAAAGUCAAGCAAAACUAAACCGUAGACAUGCUAAAUGGGUUGAAUUCAUUGAGACUUUCCCUUAUGUCAUUAAACACAAGAAGGGUAAAGAAAAUGUUAUUGCUGAUGCAUUGUCUCGUUGUUAUACUAUGCUUUCACAACUUGACUUUAAAAUAUUUGGUUUGGAGACCAUCAAAGAUGAAUAUGUUCAUGAUGCUGAAUUUAAAGAUGUAUUGCAGAAUUGUAAGGAAGGGAGAACUUGGAACAAGUUCGUUCUUAACGAUGGAUUUGUGUUUCGUGCUAACAAGCUAUGCAUUCCAGCUAGCUCCGUUCGUCUUUUGUUGUUGCAGGAGGCGCAUGGAGGAGGAUUAAUGGGACACUUUGGCGUCAAGAAGACGGAGGAUAUACUUGCUACACAUUUCUUUUGGCCAAAGAUGAGACGGGAUGUUGAGCGUUUUGUUGCUCGCUGCACUACAUGUCAAAAAGCUAAGUCACGGCUCAAUCCUCAUGGUUUAUAUAUGCCUUUGCCUGUACCUAGUGUUCCUUGGGAGGAUAUAUCUAUGGACUUUUUAGGUUUACCUCGAACAAAGAAGGGGAGGGAUAGCAUAUUUGUUGUCGUGGAUAGGUUCUCGAAAAUGGCACACUUUAUACCAUGUCAUAAAAGCGAUGAUGCUGUUAAUGUUGCUGAUUUGUUCUUUCAUAAAAUUAUUCACUUGCAUGGUGUGCCAAAUACUAUUGUUUCAGAUCGUGAUACUAAAUUUCUUAGCCACUUUUGGAGAUGUUUGUGGGCUAAGUUGGGGACUAAACUGCUUUUUAGUACUACUUGUCACCCCCAAACUGAUGGACAAACUGAAGUAGUCAAUAGAACAUUGUCUACUAUGCUUAGGGUUGUUUUGAAGAAUAAUAAGAAAAUGUGGGAAGAAUGCUUGCCUCAUAUUGAAUUUGCUUAUAAUUGUUCAUUGCAUUCUACUACUAAGAUGUGCCCUUUUGAAAUUGUGUAUGGUUUCCUACCUCGUGCACCUAUUGAUUUGUUGCCUCUUCCAUCUUCAGAGAAGGUUAAUUUUGAUGCUAUAGAACGUGCUGAAUUGAUUUUAAAAAUGCAUGAGUUAACUAAGGAAAACAUUGAGCGUAUGAAUGCUAAAUAUAAAAUUGCUGGAGAUAAGGGUAGAAAACAUGUUGUGUUUGCACCUGGAGAUCUUGUUUGGUUACAUUUGCGUAAGGAUAGAUUUCCUAAUUUGUGCAAAUCAAAGCUAAUGCCACGUGCUGAUGGUCCUUUUAAGAUGUUAGAGAAAAUAAAUGAUAAUGCAUAUAAAUUGAGCUGCCUGCAGAUUUUGGGGUUAGUCCCACUUUUAACAUUGUAG
Molecule: ribosomal RNA, 1512 nt
Filed under: Triticum aestivum (bread wheat)
Lineage: Eukaryota; Viridiplantae; Streptophyta; Magnoliopsida; Poales; Poaceae
Description: partial small subunit ribosomal RNA
Source: RNAcentral